CCUACGGUAGGCUGCAGUGGGGAAUAUUGGGCAAUGGGCGCAAGCCUGACCCAGCAACGCCGCGUGAAGGAAGAAGGCUUUCGGGUUGUAAACUUCUUUUCUCAGGGACGAAGAAAGUGACGGUACCUGAGGAAUAAGCCACGGCUAACUACGUGCCAGCAGCAGCGGUAAUACGUAGGUGGCAAGCGUUAUCCGGAUUUAUUGGGUGUAAAGGGCGUGUAGGCGGGAGCGCAAGUCAGAUGUGAAAACUCAGGGCUCAACCCUGAGCCUGCAUUUGAAACUGUGUUUCUUGAGUACUGGAGAGGCAAUCGGAAUUCCGUGUGUAGCGGUGAAAUGCGUAGAUAUACGGAGGAACACCAGUGGCGAAGGCGGAUUGCUGGACAGUAACUGACGCUGAGGCGCGAAAGCGUGGGGAGCAAACAGGAUUAGAUACCCGUGUAGUC
Molecule: ribosomal RNA, 443 nt
Filed under: uncultured bacterium
Lineage: Bacteria
Description: partial 16S ribosomal RNA
Rfam family: Bacterial small subunit ribosomal RNA
Source: RNAcentral